This 2905-nucleotide ribosomal RNA is filed under the name Vibrio parahaemolyticus. RNAcentral describes it as "23S ribosomal RNA". It matches the Rfam family "Bacterial large subunit ribosomal RNA". Lineage: Bacteria; Pseudomonadati; Pseudomonadota; Gammaproteobacteria; Vibrionales; Vibrionaceae. The record is from RNAcentral.
GGUUAAGUGACUAAGCGUACACGGUGGAUGCCUUGGCAGUCAGAGGCGAUGAAAGACGUAGUAACUUGCGAUAAGCCCAGAUUAGGUAGUAACAACCAUUUGAGUCUGGGAUUUCUGAAUGGGGAAACCCACGUGCAUAAGCACGUAUCCUUACCUGAAUACAUAGGGUAAGGAGGCGAACCGGGGGAACUGAAACAUCUAAGUACCCCGAGGAAAAGAAAUCAACCGAGAUUCCGAAAGUAGCGGCGAGCGAAAUUGGACUAGCCCUUAAGCUUUACACGCGUUAGACGAACGGUCUGGAAAGUCCGACGAUACAGGGUGAUAGUCCCGUAGUUGACGACGUGUGUUCAGUGAAAUCGAGUAGGGCGGGACACGUGAUAUCCUGUCUGAAUAUGGGGGGACCAUCCUCCAAGGCUAAAUACUACUGACUGACCGAUAGUGAACCAGUACCGUGAGGGAAAGGCGAAAAGAACCCCUGUGAGGGGAGUGAAAUAGAACCUGAAACCGUGUACGUACAAGCAGUAGGAGCAGGCUUUGUCCUGUGACUGCGUACCUUUUGUAUAAUGGGUCAGCGACUUAUAUUCAGUGGCAAGGUUAACCAUCUAGGGGAGCCGUAGGGAAACCGAGUCUUAACUGGGCGUUCAGUCUCUGGAUAUAGACCCGAAACCAGGUGAUCUAGCCAUGGGCAGGUUGAAGGUUGAGUAACAUCAACUGGAGGACCGAACCGACUAAUGUUGAAAAAUUAGCGGAUGACUUGUGGCUAGGGGUGAAAGGCCAAUCAAACCUGGAGAUAGCUGGUUCUCCCCGAAAGCUAUUUAGGUAGCGCCUCGGACGAAUACUACUGGGGGUAGAGCACUGUUAAGGCUAGGGGGUCAUCCCGACUUACCAACCCUUUGCAAACUCCGAAUACCAGUAAGUACUAUCCGGGAGACACACGGCGGGUGCUAACGUCCGUCGUGGAGAGGGAAACAACCCAGACCGCCAGCUAAGGUCCCAAAUUACUACUAAGUGGGAAACGAUGUGGGAAGGCUCAGACAGCCAGGAUGUUGGCUUAGAAGCAGCCAUCAUUUAAAGAAAGCGUAAUAGCUCACUGGUCGAGUCGGCCUGCGCGGAAGAUGUAACGGGGCUAAGUAGUAAACCGAAGCUGCGGCAAUGUGCUUUUGCACAUUGGGUAGGGGAGCGUUCUGUAAGCGGUUGAAGGUGUGUGGUAACGCAUGCUGGACGUAUCAGAAGUGCGAAUGCUGACAUGAGUAACGAUAAAGGGGGUGAAAAACCUCCUCGCCGGAAGACCAAGGGUUCCUGUCCAACGUUAAUCGGGGCAGGGUAAGUCGACCCCUAAGGCGAGGCCGAAAGGCGUAGUCGAUGGGAAACGGGUUAAUAUUCCCGUACUUCUUACAAUUGCGAUGGGGGGACGGAGAAGGCUAGGUGGGCCUGGCGACGGUUGUCCAGGUUCAAGUGCGUAGGCUUAAGAGUUAGGUAAAUCCGGCUCUUUUUAAGGCUGAGACACGACGUCGAGCACCUACGGGUGUGAAGUCAUUGAUGCCAUGCUUCCAGGAAAAGCCUCUAAGCUUCAGAUUGUAAGGAAUCGUACCCCAAACCGACACAGGUGGUCGGGUAGAGAAUACCAAGGCGCUUGAGAGAACUCGGGUGAAGGAACUAGGCAAAAUGGUACCGUAACUUCGGGAGAAGGUACGUGGUGAAGUCCCUCGCGGAUGGAGCUGACGAGAGUCGCAGAUACCAGGUGGCUGCAACUAGAUACCAGGUGGCUGCAACUGUUUAUUAAAAACACAGCACUGUGCAAAAUCGUAAGAUGACGUAUACGGUGUGACGCCUGCCCGGUGCCGGAAGGUUAAUUGAUGGGGUUAGACUUCGGUCGAAGCUCUUGAUCGAAGCCCCGGUAAACGGCGGCCGUAACUAUAACGGUCCUAAGGUAGCGAAAUUCCUUGUCGGGUAAGUUCCGACCUGCACGAAUGGCGUAAUGAUGGCCACGCUGUCUCCACCCGAGACUCAGUGAAAUUGAAAUCGCUGUGAAGAUGCAGUGUACCCGCGGCUAGACGGAAAGACCCCGUGAACCUUUACUACAGCUUGGCACUGAACAUUGACCCUACAUGUGUAGGAUAGGUGGGAGGCUUUGAAGCACGUACGCCAGUAUGUGUGGAGCCGUCCUUGAAAUACCACCCUUGUAGUGUUGAUGUUCUAACGUCGACCCCUAAUCGGGGUUGCGGACAGUGCCUGGUGGGUAGUUUGACUGGGGCGGUCUCCUCCCAAAGAGUAACGGAGGAGCACGAAGGUGGGCUAAUCACGGUUGGACAUCGUGAGGUUAGUGCAAUGGCAUAAGCCCGCUUGACUGCGAGAAUGACAAUUCGAGCAGGUGCGAAAGCAGGUCAUAGUGAUCCGGUGGUUCUGAAUGGAAGGGCCAUCGCUCAACGGAUAAAAGGUACUCCGGGGAUAACAGGCUGAUACCGCCCAAGAGUUCAUAUCGACGGCGGUGUUUGGCACCUCGAUGUCGGCUCAUCACAUCCUGGGGCUGAAGUCGGUCCCAAGGGUAUGGCUGUUCGCCAUUUAAAGUGGUACGCGAGCUGGGUUUAGAACGUCGUGAGACAGUUCGGUCCCUAUCUGCCGUGGGCGUUGGAAGAUUGAAGGGGGCUGCUCCUAGUACGAGAGGACCGGAGUGGACGAACCUCUGGUGUUCGGGUUGUGUCGCCAGACGCAUUGCCCGGUAGCUAAGUUCGGAAUCGAUAACCGCUGAAAGCAUCUAAGCGGGAAGCGAGCCCUGAGAUGAGUCUUCCCUGAUACUUUAAGUAUCCUAAAGGGUUGUCGGAGACUACGACGUUGAUAGGUCAGGUGUGUAAGUGCUGUGAGGCAUUGAGCUAACUGAUACUAAUUGCCCGUGAGGCUUAACCAU